Molecule: RNA transcript, 2052 nt
Organism: Triticum aestivum (bread wheat)
Lineage: Eukaryota; Viridiplantae; Streptophyta; Magnoliopsida; Poales; Poaceae
Exons: 2
Source: RefSeq, a predicted model, not a curated record
CAGCCCCACACCACACCCCGAACUGCAUGACCAAGGAAAAAAAACCUCCUCCACCUUAUCUCUGCCCCGGGCCGCAUGAACCACCAACUCCUUUCCUCCCUUCCUCUCCAUCGCCACAACUAUGCGCCUCGCCGUUGUAGCCCACCUCCCACCUCCCCGGCGCGCUCCCCCCACCUCCCCUGGUGUUAACCGCGCUGGCCACCACCCGCGCCGGCACGCCACCACCGGCGCCUUCUUCCCGCGUGCUGCCAGCGGCAUGGAGGCGCGCCGCCGGAGCACCUAGGCCCCGGCAUCGAAUCCGGGCAGCAGCGCGCCGCCGCGCCUCUGUUUCCUCUAUCUACAUGGCCUCCCGCGUACAAGCUCUCGACCAGGAUCCCGCGCUCACCGCCGGCGAACACACCUCCAGUCCACCCUGCCAACCAGCGCUGAUCUCCUGCAACCCCGCCCUGCCCGCGACCUUCCUCCCCUUGCCGGCGAGCCUCCCUCCCUCGGCUACCUCCUAGCAUGAGCUAACGCCGGAUCCAGGCCGCACCUGGGAUCCACUUUGUCCCCACACUCCACUGCGUGGCCCCAGCAGCGCCGCUCGAACAUGCCCCGCACUCCACUGCGCGGCCCCAGGUGCACCGACCGAGCGACGGAUUCGGCCCCGCCACGGCGCCUAGGCGACGGAUCCCUCUUGGAUCACGUCGGAUCAAGGAACUGCUGCUCCAGUGUCUUGUGGGCGAGAAGGCGCACAGAAGGGGUCGGGGCUAACGUCCCUCACCUCUCUUGCAGUCCACCGUCGUCGUCAAACAGGUGCGAUUACCUGAUGUGUCGAGCGAGGGGACACCCCUGGCCUCCUCCUUUCCUUGUCAUCGCACGCGCAUGCCACAGCCACACCAGCCCGGGAUCCCCCCUCCUAUCCUCUCCCUGUUGUUCUCCGAUGAGGGCGAGUAGCUGAGCCUACCUGACGUAGGUCGAUUGGGUCAUCCUCUCUGGCUUGAGCAGCCCAAUGCCAUUGUUGGAGCAUUACACAGCAGCAGGUGUGUGCAGCCACCAUCGACUUCCCGCGGGGAAGAGAUCCCUCGGCCAUGCCACAUCCGCCCCUGGGAUUCAGUUUGCCAGAGCACCCCUCGCAGCUCUCUCUUCGCCGGAGAACUAUGGCAGUGUGCCGGCUUGCAGUUCGGUCAUGAGUUCAGUGCAGCACAGACGGCGAUGCCAUUGCAAUUCAGAAGCUUGUGUGCAGUCUGGUGACCACGGACGUGCGGCUCACUAGCAUUAGAUGCACUUCAGUGCUCCUGUGGGUGCAGUUCAUGAGCGCGCCGGCGAUGACGGCAGCAAUGCAGUGCACUCCGGUAGUUGCUGUGGUGCACUCUGGUGGUCGUUGUGGUAUAGCUCAGUGGCUGGCCAGGUGAGGUUUUCUUUUCCUCUGCGUGUGGUUAAUCUGAGCACCAGCUUCAUCGCCUCAGUGCUUUUGUAGUGUGUUCCAUUUUUUUUUGCAGUUCCCUGGUCAUGCAGCUUGGUGACGUGCCAGGUGCAGUCAGCUGAGCGACACUCUUCUCCAAGCAAGAAGAGGAGGGCGAUCUUGGUUCCCUGUCCCAGUGCAGUAAAGGCGAUGCGCCUGUGCGGUGCGGAGCACAUGUGCAAUUCCGUCGGCCAUGCGUGUAGUACAGGUCGCAUAGUGGUGUAGUUCGCCGCUGAACCCGUGUUGUAGUUUUAUGGCACCCUGCGUGUGUGUGAUGCAGUUUGGCGUCUCCCUCGGGUGGACGCAUAGCUGCACUCCAGAUCGCCCAGUACUGCAACUCCUUCCUUCCUUUUACUUAUUUUUUCUAGGAAAGGAAGUGGUGCAGUUCGGUUGGAUGUCCCGUUGGUGUUUGACCUUGUGCCAUUUCAGAUCAUAUUGUGCAGUGCGACAUGAGUUUCUCUGCUUGGGGUGCUCCGGGUACUUCAGUUGGGAUACUCGGAGAUAAAAAUUUAUGUGUACAGUAUAUAGUUGUAUGGCUGUGUAAAAAAAUAUGAAUUUGUGUGUUGAGCAUUCUGAAGCGCUGAUGUUAUAUUUUUACUUUGAGAAAA